AUUCCAGACUCCUACGGGAGGCAGCAGUGGGGAAUAUUGCGCAAUGGGGGAAACCCUGACGCAGCAACGCCGCGUGAGUGAAGAAGUAUCUCGGUAUGUAAAGCUCUAUCAGCGGGGAAGAAGGAAGACGGUACCCGACUAAGAAGCCCCGGCUAACUACGUGCCAGCAGCCGCGGUAAUACGUAGGGGGCGAGCGUUAUCCGGAUUUACUGGGUGUAAAGGGAGCGUAGACGGCGGCGCAAGUCUGAAGUGAAAGCCCGUGGCUCAACCGCGGAACCGCUUUGGAAACUGCGAGGCUGGAGUGCUGGAGAGGCAAGUGGAAUUCCUAGUGUAGCGGUGAAAUGCGUAGAUAUUAGGAGGAACACCAGUGGCGAAGGCGGCUUACUGGACUGUAACUGACGUUGAGGCUCGAAAGCGUGGGGAGCAAACAGGAUUAGAUACCCCUGUA
This 448-nucleotide ribosomal RNA is filed under the name uncultured bacterium. Its description in RNAcentral is "bacterial SSU rRNA". It matches the Rfam family "Bacterial small subunit ribosomal RNA", at positions 328 to 792 of the family's 1533-position model. The record is from RNAcentral.